GCAUAAGCAAACACAGUAGAUCUCACCUUUGGUAACAGUCAGGUUUAUUAAAUUCAUAACCUGGGCACAGAGCAGCCGUUACAUGCCCAGGAGCAAGAAUUGUACUUUGCAAGCAUGGCACCUAUUUCUGAAAAAUACUAGUGUGGCAUGUUGAUUCCAGUUAUUCUGGGAGAGGAGAGAAUAUGGAAGGAGUGCAAAUAGCAUGGAGGCAAUGUGCCUAGGGAAAUGUGGACUCUAUAUUCUGUCACAACACAGCAUGGAUGUUGUGUUUGCUUUUGUAGAGAGGUCUGUGUGAUAUUUAAGCCAUUUGUGCCAGAAUAAAGCUCAUAUAUUGCAAGAUGCUGUGGCAUAUUGAUCUUCCACACUUGAAUAAAUGACUAGCAUGAGCUUUAAGGGCAUAAGAAUGGCCAAAGAUGCAGGCAAGAUAUCUUAGAAUUGUUUAAACAGUUCUUUCUGACUAACUUCACUAGAAAGACCAUAUAUCCUUUAAAUUUCAGUCCUUUAUCAUAGCAUGUCAGCUAUUUUUGCUGCACAGAGUGAAACAGAUAAAGUGUUGCCUUCAUCCUCAAAAGGAAAGCUUGGACUGAAAUUCUCUUCACAGUGCAGACAAAUUUGAGCUCACCAGCCAUUCCUUUCAACUUUGUUUCCUUUCAGGAGACAAGGAGUAAUUCCCAGAGGGUCAUAAACUUUAUAACAGAUAUUGCAGUUUUAAAUGCCUCAGAUUAGAUUGUGCACUGAAUUACAGCUGGCAAGGUCAUGGUGUUCCCAUUUUGUAAAACUUUAUUUUAUUUUAUUUUAUUUUAUUUUAUUUUAUUUUAUUUUAUUUUAUUUUAUUUUAAUUUUAUUUUCCUCCAACAGGAAGAAAACAAGAUCUUCCAAGUUUUCCAAGUUUCUCAUGGAAGAGGCUGGGAAAGACUAGAACAAACACCCUUACAUCAAAAAUGCAAUGCUUCAAUCUCUAAACCAAAAUCUUUGGAAGAGCUGCUUUCUACAUGACUAGGCUGAGCCUGAGACAGAUGGAAAAACUGUGGGUGCUGAAAAGCAGUCUCUAUAGAGAAACCAGCAGUAUAUAAAAGUUGGGUAAGUAACUUCUGCUAUAGCCAUUUUUUUAACAAUUGGAACAAUAUACAUAACAGACUUAGUGACUUACUGGUACUUAGCAGCAGAAGGAAGACAAAAUGGACUAGCGAGGGACUACAUGAAGGGAAGCUUCCCGUCUAUGCUGUUUGCAAGAAUUUUGCAGUUAUAUAUAACAGAAGAAAAACAGUGAGUUGGAGAAAGGAAUCUGCUUAUCUCCUCUAUGAUAUUUGCAUGGUUCAUAUUUCAAAAUUUUCAAGUUAAGGUCAACUUUGAAACACAUCUUACUUAAAAUCUCAAAUAUUCUUGAGUGAUACAUAAUUAAUUAAGCCAAAAACAGUGUUUCUUUUAAUUUUAGAAGACUAUACUUUAUUUCAUACUUUCAAUUCCAUGAUAACUCUUGAAAUAUAUCAUACGCAAAAGCCCGGUUUUCUACUGAUAUAACUCAGAUUUAUUUAAUUGGCUUCAGUCAAGCAAAGUUUAUUUAUCAGUUGACAACAUAGUCUAGGAAUUACUAUAUAAAUGAAGGAAAUGCUAUAUUGAUGAAGAAAUAAUGCAGUGAAAAUAUCACUUAUAACUAUACUAAACAAACAGGUUGCAAAAAAGAAGGUCUUAGGAAAUUACUGUUUUCAGUAGAACUGUCCAUGUUGUAAAGAAAUGUGUCAGAGUAGGUGCAAUAUUGCGUUAAAGUAAAAUAAAAGUUUUUGCUAUACAGUGGGAUUAAGUUUA
This 1806-nucleotide long non-coding RNA is filed under the name Anas platyrhynchos platyrhynchos (common mallard). RNAcentral's name for it is "lncRNA (ENSAPLG00000030987.1)". The record is from RNAcentral. Lineage: Eukaryota; Metazoa; Chordata; Aves; Anseriformes; Anatidae.